AAUAGAUACCCCGGUAGUCCACGCCGUAAACGAUGAGUGCUAAGUGUUAGAGGGUUUCCGCCCUUUAGUGCUGAAGUUAACGCAUUAAGUACUCCGCCUGGGGAGUACGGCCGCAAGGCUGAAACUCAAAGGAAUUGACGGGGGCCCGCACAAGCGGUGGAGCAUGUGGUUUAAUUCGAAGCAACGCGAAGAACCUUACCAGGUCUUGACAUCCUCUGACAACCCUAGAGAUAGGGCUUCUCCUUCGGGAGCAGAGUGACAGGUGGUGCAUGGUUGUCGUCAGCUCGUGUCGUGAGAUGUUGGGUUAAGUCCCGCAACGAGCGCAACCCUUGAUCUUAGUUGCCAUCAUUAAGUUGGGCACUCUAAGGUGACUGCCGGUGACAAACCGGAGGAAGGUGGGGAUGGACGUCAAAUCAUCAUGCCCCUUAUGACCUGGGCUACACACGUGCUACAAUGGACGGUACAAAGAGCUGCAAGACCGCGAGGUGGAGCUAAUCUCAUAAAACCGUUCUCAGUUCGGAUUGUGGGCUGAACUCG
This 537-nucleotide ribosomal RNA is filed under the name uncultured bacterium. RNAcentral describes it as "bacterial SSU rRNA". It matches the Rfam family "Bacterial small subunit ribosomal RNA", at positions 777 to 1314 of the family's 1533-position model. The record is from RNAcentral.